GAUGAACGCUGGCGGCGUGCCUAAUACAUGCAAGUCGAGCGAACGGACGAGAAGCUUGCUUCUCUGAUGUUAGCGGCGGACGGGUGAGUAACACGUGGAUAACCUACCUAUAAGACUGGGAUAACUUCGGGAAACCGGAGCUAAUACCGGAUAAUAUUUUGAACCGCAUGGUUCAAAAGUGAAAGACGGUCUUGCUGUCACUUAUAGAUGGAUCCGCGCUGCAUUAGCUAGUUGGUAAGGUAACGGCUUACCAAGGCAACGAUGCAUAGCCGACCUGAGAGGGUGAUCGGCCACACUGGAACUGAGACACGGUCCAGACUCCUACGGGAGGCAGCAGUAGGGAAUCUUCCGCAAUGGGCGAAAGCCUGACGGAGCAACGCCGCGUGAGUGAUGAAGGUCUUCGGAUCGUAAAACUCUGUUAUUAGGGAAGAACAUAUGUGUAAGUAACUGUGCACAUCUUGACGGUACCUAAUCAGAAACCCACGGCUAACUACGUG
RNAcentral lists this ribosomal RNA (497 nucleotides) under uncultured bacterium. Its description in RNAcentral is "partial 16S ribosomal RNA". It matches the Rfam family "Bacterial small subunit ribosomal RNA", at positions 28 to 507 of the family's 1533-position model. The record is from RNAcentral.